GAUGUAAAUGACAACGAUGUGACAAGAAUCUGAAGACCUAAGACCAAGCCACGCCGUUCAGGCUGAAUGCAAAUGUUGAGGGUUGAGAUUAAGGAUGUUUUGAUUAGUCUCCACAAGCGCUGAGGUGCAUCAGGGUCUCAUAAAAGGUCGGACAAAUUAUGCGGAGCAAAAUAAUUGUUCAAUGAAGACCUUUCAGAUGGUUUAUGCACAACGACCAAAAGCAACAAGCAAUGCAAUCCAAACGUUCCAACAGUCUGAUAGAGAUCAACAGUCCUUAAAGAAUGUUCCGUCACUGUUUUCUACGAACAAAUAGGUGUAUUCUGAGUCAAGAGUUCCUUUUAAAUCACAGAUCCACAUGUACAGUACAGUGAAUGUAACUCAGUAAAUGUACCUGCUAUUCAAUUUUGUGGCGCACGUACUUCAGCAGGGAAGAAAAAAGUGAGGUAACUGAGGUCAGUCAGUCAGUUGAAAGAAAAGAAUAUUCCUUGUAGUUGAUUUCAAUUAUUUUGUUAUUACUCCCCCUGACAGUGGAUCAAACAACAGCUAAUUGUUGAUAUGAACAAACACCUGAGCUGGUGGUUGAGCUGCGUGUCAAUAAAUAGCACAGGUAUUAUGAACCAGGAUGAACUGUGGUAUUUUAACAAAGUUAGUCAAACACAAAUCAACAUAUUCCCUGAUUGCUAGUUUGUUCUUUCUUCUUUGAAUUCCACAGAUGGCAACCAUUUGCAUAUCAUUAUGAGCACCUGUACAUUGGUAUGCAUACCUUAUUAUCUUUUCCUUAAGUGCAGUAACCUAAUCACCUCGGUGCUGGAGUGAGCCGGGUCUCAUCAUGCUUCGGCUUUAGAGGAUUUCUCUCAGCAGUGACCUUCAGCUCCUCAGUCAGAGCAACAUGCAGAGAUUAAGUCAACUCAUUAACCCAUAUUAAUCACUAGGGACAUUUCAAUUUUUUUCAAUCAUUUUUUUGCCAAUGAUUGCGUUAAUGCAUGUGGCAUACACAUUUGGCAAGAAUGAGAUUUAUUUUUCAACCUCACAAACUGCGAAGCCAAAAACCAAACACUCUUAUGGACAGAAAUAGUCAAAUUGAACCCCAUUCAUUCCAAAAAAUGAUAUCCUUCAGCCAUUAUCGAAUAACAUCAUGCAUUCUAUUUGAUCAGGCUUUCAAUAUAAAGCCCACUCUUCAAAAUAGAUAGUUUUACUAUUACUGUUACUAUAACUGUUUAAUUGGGGGGGGGGGAUAUUAAAAUGCUGUUUUCCUGAUUGUCAAUGUGGGCAUUGCUGCUGUGUUAUGAGCCAUUGCAGGGUUUUAAUUCAUUUGAAUUAAUUUUUUGUGCUAGGAGAAGAUGGUACAAAACAUGUAACUGAAAAGGUGGGUGAAAGUAUUAUUGUUUCAUGCUAUUGCACAGUUUUGACUUUUUUUAAAGCGAUGAAAAGGGGUUGAUAUCCUGAACACGCUACAGUGUGAAUACGCUUUUAUGUUAAAACAAAAGAAGAGGACGAGAAAGAAAAAUGAGAGUAUGGGUUGCAGAUACACACAGAGAGAGAAACCGAGUGAUCUGGAAGCUUGUUAUUGAUGUACUGUAUGUUCGCUCCAAUAACAUUGGGGUAUCAAUGCAACUCUCAGUUACCAUGGCUACAGCAGAGUCUGUAUCGGUGAAUACAUAGCAGGACGACUGGUGGGCAGUCACAGAGGGACCAAUUAGGAGGAACAUGCUGCAUUGUCACUGUGCUUACAGGGAUUUACUUUAGUUAAAUUGGUAGAUUGUAACGGUGCAGAUUAUGGGACCAUCUAUAGAGGGAGAAUAACGGGGAGAAUACACGUAUGACAGUAUUUUGAGAAUUCAGGCAAUCAUCUUGUGAAUGAAUAAUGUCUUGUGUGUAUUAUGCUUAAAGUUACGUUUGAUAUGUUAUUAUUGAUAUUUGCAAAAUGUGUGGAUGUGGUGAAAUGUUUUCCUGGUAUAAUAAAGUAAAACAAAUGAAUGGCUCUACACACAUUAAUACAAUUAUUUAAUAAUCAUUUAAAACAACUUAUAACUUCAUAUUCAUAAAAAAGACACCCGGCAUAAAACGUCAGGCUUCAAAAAAAUUUAAAGUGAUGGUGUUUAAUUAUCUUGAUCAGCAUUUUAUAGAAAUUGCAUGUCAUAAUAUGACAGCUGUACUAUAAAAAGCUGUUGAAACGUGACAUUAAUUGAGAGGGGCAGCUUCAAUUUUCCUUUCAGUUGAUUGUGUUGUAAAUUGUUGUGGUUUAUACGUCUUAAAAAUAGCAAAGGUCUCCUGGAAUAUCUGCUGAACUUUAAAUAUUUAAUGCAUCUUGUUAUGUUGACUGAUUUUUUUGUAAGAAGAACUCUCAGCUCUACUCUUUCCUUCACUCUCUAUGCUGAUGGUGAAACAGUUUGACGAACUCAGCGAUUCAUAUGUAAUUGUAGACAUAUUUAGAAUUAUAAAUAUAAAUGUGGGAGUUGCCCGUAUAAGGUCAAUAUCCCCGUAGAAGAAAAUAUAUAGAAUCCAAUUAUAACAAGAGUUAGUCAUGGGAAUAACCAAAAUGAUUUCCUAAAAAAACAUUAAAUGUUUGUACCAAAUUGCAUUGCAAACCAUUCAAUAAUUCUCAACAACUUUCAGUUUAAAUACAACAAGAACAAAGAUGCAAAUGAUGGCUGAUGUCUCAUUGAUUUUUUUACAACUUGACAUGCAUUGGAAGCCGAAGCCAUUGGAACGACGGCAAAUAUCCACCGGGUCGGCAGGUGAACCCAGUGAACUGCAUAAGUUCAAAGGAUUAAAAGGUUUGCAUCGCCGCACUCAAGCCUCUCCGACUGGACGAUGAAAGCUCUCUGCUGGAUUGGGAGCUUUGAUGUUUGAACCAGAAAAAGCGCUGUUAAACGGGCAAGCGGGUUCACCUGGGUUGGACCACGGCCCUGAGCGUCUGGAAGCCGCACGGAGGCUGCCGGCCUUCCCUCCUCGACAGGGUCUUAACAGAAGGAGCCUCGGUAGAGUAUCUGCAAAUACUCGGCAGGUUUCUCUUUCAGCUGGGAACAGUGAGCGCAACGGACACGCGACAAACGUUGGGAAAAUCAAUUCUUUUUUGUAGGUGGGUGUCUGGAGAGGCCAGUUGACUGCUGUCACUCACGGACCUGUUGAGAGAAAUUAAGAGGUGAAUUGUCUUCCACUCUGCAUUCCGGUUACAACCCCCAAACAUGCAGAACCAGUACUGAGCGGAUGAAUUAGUCUGCAGCAGAAAUUCCACUUGCAGGAUGUAAGGUCCUUUUUCAGAGGCAGUUUACGGCCUUAUGGCAAAAGUACACAACUGCAUCAGUAAGGCAAGUACUUCUUUUAGUAUUUUUAAGUAUUAUCUUAAACCUGAAGUGAAGCUAUUAUCGCAUUCACAGUAUCUUUAUUUGAUAUAUGAUGUUCUCUUUUUCACAGUAGCUUUUCACUUAUCUUCAAAUUGUAAUGUAUAAAUAAAUGUGCUUAUACCAUAGUCACUUGAUUUAUUAUUUAAUGAGUUUUGAAACAAAAACUUUUUCACACAUUUUGCUCUGGUUAAAUAAUACUCAUGUUAUUUAGACUAUUCCUCAAACAUUUCAUUACAUGAGAAGUCAGUUGUUUCUCAGAGGGUGGGGGUGGAGGGAGGGUGGAGAUUACCAGCCGGCAGCCACCUCCGGUUUUCUGUCAAUAACACAUCACUUAUCUCGGUCUUCUCCGGAUUUUCUUUUUUUUCUCUUCAUCGCCUUCUCAUGCAGUUCUUUAGGAUUGCACUAACGCUCUGGGAAACCACGAGCCCCUCCUUUUCUUCUUUAUUUGAAGACACAUGUCCCCCACAGGUCGUUCUUCAUGUCCUCCUCCUGUUUGGCUCCUUUCUGCCCCUCUUUGUUUCCAGCCUCGCUGUGGAGGAGUUUGGCAUCUUCGUUGGUUUUCGAUUCCGGUGCUCGAUCUGUAGCUCAUCUGCACUUUACUUUCAACGCAUUUUGGUCAGAGACUUGUUGUUUUUCUGACUCAUACCUUGCAGCCCCGUUGUUAUACUCCUGCUUGAUUCGCGCUGUGCAGUUCUCUUCUUCUUCCCCCAUGUGGAGUUGGGGACUUUUCUUUCAGAUGGUUGGAUUGAGAUCCGCUCCCUUUUUUUCAGCUGCAGACUCCUCCUCUAUUUGCUGUGGAAGCUCCUGCAGGUGGUUCAACAUCCAUGUACCUGCACCCACCCUGCUGCAUCAGUUAUUGAUGCCUUAUUGAAUCCUGUCCCAGCGUGUACUUGGCAAUUCAAAUGCUAAAUGUGUGGUGCUAGAAAAAUCCGGCUCAAAGGGCCUAUUUUUUAUUUUUAUUUUUUACUCGACACCGGUUGUAAAAUCAUUAAACAGGACAUUUCCUCAAAUACUUGCAAGUAGAAGCAGAGUUGAAACACGUACAAGUCAUGCAUCAAGGCUUCAAGCAAGGACGUUACCAAGUGGAAGCCGGCCGGUCUUUAUCUUUAGGAAGGCAGCGGCAUGUUAUCUCUCUAAGUGAAGAGGCGCUGGUGUCAGCUUAAAACCCCAAACCCUCCAGGGAAGCUGUGUAAAUACUGAUGUACAAAGCAGAUGUACCAUCUAUUCAACGUAGAUCACCAGAGCUAUGUGAUGAAGAACAGGGCAUCGUGGUGUUGUGUGCCUGAACAAGGAGCUGUUAUUUAAACUUAAGGAUCUCUAUGUUUGCAUGCAAUUGCAGUUUCCGUUGCAAUAAAUUUCCGUCAUGUUUUUAUAUCAGUGAGUAAAGUGGAGGGAACAGCAGUAGUCAAAAUGCCCUUUGGAUUCUGCAAUAAGCUACAGUUAUCUUGCAAUCCUUUCUACUGCUUGGAAGAAUCGCCAUCACCUGAGGACUCUCACAGAUUAUCUUGUUAGCUGUUCGUCUUGGUCUGCAGAGAACAUCCAUGUGGUGUCAAAAUGGAGAACUUAAAAGGCUGCCAGAAAUGCAUAUGCUGAUUUAAAGACAGGCCAUCACGCAUAUACGUGAAUAACUGUUAGUUAUUAGUUAGUUAAAAGCCUCAAACAAAGUCAUAACAUUACAUUAUUGUGCCACGUGAACAAAGCAUUGACAACAAAUACUUAAAUGCAGCUUCAGACAACUACAUUUUUUAUUUCUGCAUUGCAUUUAAACCCAUUACUUACGUUUGGCAGUAACAUAUUAGUGUUAGAGUAUUAGUAUUAGAGUAUGUACAGUAUGUAAAGGUUCAUUGAACAAGUCUUGAGAUGUUCCGAUCAUCUUCCAACUGGAAAAAUAUGAUUUUAAAAGCAACAAUUCAUUCCCAGCAGCAUUGAAGCUGAACACAUAUGAGAAGCUGUAUUUGGAAAUGAUCUAAUUAACGUUUCUAAGCAACCUUCAUUCUGCGUCACUGUUACGAUGUUGUAAGUAAUGAGUAAUUACUUUAGAAAGUGUGUAUUUUAGACACAGUUGUUUAAAUGUUAUUUUAAACACAAAACUACACAACUUUCAACACAGUUACGUUGUGGUGGAAUCUAUUUACAGGGCGUUGAGUAAACCUGCAUUGAGUCUAAAUAACUUGAUUGUGACCAAUGAAGUGCAUCAAAUGAGCCGCAAAAUGUGAAACUCAAUACAACAUUACCUGUGAUUUGUCUCUCAAUGGUAGAUGACAUAUUGAUAAUGUCUCUCCUUUUCCUCAGGUCUGCACCUAAUCACAGUCUGUUUUGCUCUUUCUUUUCUCUUCUGUUUGCCCAUUAUCGAAGUUUCCCUAAUUUCAUACACACUUGUAAAUAAUGGAGAAAAGCAGUGCGCUUUUACAAUGUAUUGUUUGACAGAUUCUUGUUUGAGUUGAGAGCUGGAUUUUUUUCCUUUGGAAAGAAUAAAAUCUGAUCUCUGGUCUAUUUUGGGUGUGAGUUCUAUGUGUGUAAUUUCUGCCCUGAGGCGACAGUUUGUGUAAAUGCAAUCUGUACAUGAGAACACACUGCAUGGCGUUCAUCACGCUGUAGCCACCGAACCGAGGCAACGUUCUAUUGGCUAAUUUGCAGUGUUUCUUUAAAUGAGUUUGUAUUACCUCUAUUUUUAUUUCACUGUGAUUUAAAGGAGACAUCAUGACAACUCUUCAGCGCUUGUGUGCACAAAUUUGAGCCUACAGACAAAAUAUGCACUUAAAAACAAAGGGUUUUAGACAAAUGGGGAAUAAAGGUAUAUUCACACAGCUAUCAGGAAAAAACAAAAAAUCUUCCUUUUGUUUUUCACACCUUUACUAUUAUCUCUCUGUAUAGAGAUAUUGCAGUUGACGCAGCACUAUAAAUCUGGGUGUUUCUUUGCGACAAGAUGAUUUCAACUCGACGGGGAUGAUAAUGAAGUUACGUGUCAAUCAACCAGUCUUUUCAUUUAAGUCCUAACACGUCGACGUGCCAAAGGAAGCGACACUCUGAUCAUUAUCAUUUUCUACUUUGGCGUGAAGCCUAUCGUAUAGAGACAAUGAAAUCAAGUUAAUCGUAUAUAUUAAUGUAGAACUGAUUGAAGUCAGUAUGGGGGUUCAGUGUGCUGCGGCUGUGAUGUACUUUGUGUUCUUCUUUUCAUUCUGGUACUAAUUCAAGUAACCCGGAACGCUUUAGAAAUGUGAUUUCCUCAUUAACCUCAAUGCUACAAGUGGUGUUUGAAUACAUGAUCUAAAAUUAAAUGUAAAAGCAAGUUGACAACAAACAAGACAUUUAGUUUUUCAUGCCGUGUCGCUUAAUUUGUCCACAACACACAAAAACAACUUCUUCCCGGGUUAUUCUGCUUUGCCGUGCCAGUGCUAAAGAAGUAUUCAAAGGCCACUCAGUGGGACGCUUUGCUAAAGAUAGGCGCCACUUGCUGUGAUGAGAACAUGAUUACACACAGAAACAAGCUCACACCUGAAGGAUGCACGUGUGCUGAGAACGCAAGCAACAUUCUUACUUCUUACUAAGUUAUUUGGUUUAGUACAUUUAUCUAAUCACCUGAACUCAAACGCACCUACGUAGUGGUCCUCGUGAGGACGGCAUUGCUCUGCAUGAUACCGAUUGAAUAUAAUAAAAAGCCUUUAGACUUUAGCCUUUAGACACAUAACCCUAUUGUAGACAGCCAGAUGAUGUGAAAACAGAUGUUUAUAGAUUUAUUUUUUAUUGUGCUUUUCUGGAAACAUGUUAGUGUUAGUUAGCGCUAGCACUAUUAGUGUUAGUUAUGUUAGUGUUAGAACUAUUUUACUAAUGUGUUGCCUUUGGCUCACUGUAAGUAGCAAAAGCUUUUUUUGCGAAAACAUGUUGACGGUCAUGUUUUGUCGUCCUCUCAGGGGCCCUGAUUGAAUUCCAGUCUGCAACAUCUCAUGAAUGCUUAUGAAAAUGUAACAAGCAUUUUUACAAGCAGAGGGUUAGUUCUGUAUUCACGUCCCACGGUGUCCCACGGCGUCCCACAGCGAGGAGAAGCCCUCUGCACUGUUGCCCUUGACUGUGGAAUUCUUGUGUCUGCAGUUUGAAGGGUCUAAUCACGCUCCACUAAGCAAACUUUCUUCCAUCAACAAUCCUUCUGAAUCCUUUCUGCCGCCCGGUCUCCUGUUCCAUCGCCUCCUUUUCCUCAUUUUUUCAUCAAAAUCCUCCCGUCUCUGUGGCGUUAUGGAACAACAACUUCUUCCUGUACCUUCUCACCUCCCUUUCAGCCUCGAUCUAUUCAUCAAGCCAUUUUCCUGCACUUCUUCCAUUUUCAGCAGAGGGGAAAGAAAUCGUUAGUGAAAGAAAACCAGAGAGAGGGAGCGGCAGAAAGUGAUAAAAGCAGAAUAAGAAGCGCAAGAUGCCAUCGACCAGCUCUGCAGAGAACAAUCGGUGAUCUUGAGGCAAUCACAAGCCAUCACUGAAGCAGAAGGCAUGGAGUUUUUUGCCAGAUGGCCCGCACUCAUCGCCGGCUUUUGAAUACCUGCGGGUUCGUGGAUUGUCGUUGCCUCAAGCUCAGCUGCCAGGAUGAUGCUCAAACGUGUUUGACUAACCCGGAAUGUGUGAAAAAUGCUCCGGCCUGCAUUCGAUCAGGCGAUACAGAGAGGAGAGAAAAUAAAAGGGGAAAUAAAAGCUGUCAUACAUCAUAGCUUUUAAUACAACUUCUAACGUUCAGCGCUUCUCUC
Long non-coding RNA from Gasterosteus aculeatus aculeatus (three-spined stickleback), 8077 nucleotides. The record is from Ensembl. Lineage: Eukaryota; Metazoa; Chordata; Actinopteri; Perciformes; Gasterosteidae.